CAGCUCCUAACGCCGCAGGUUCCUCCUGGUCCCCGAGGCCCCCGGUCGGGCGUUGCCUGCCCCGCGCGGGCGGCCGGGCCGAGGGACGAUGGUCAGUGGACGGACGGCGCCAGGGAGCAGUGCCCACGCGCGGCAGGGCGGUACCUUCAGGCCUCCAGGUGUCAUCGAACACCCUUGUGCUUGCUGUCACCCGCUGCCUGUCUGCAGGAUCCCGGAUUCCGUAUCAGGGGACCGAAAUUAGUCGGAAAAUAGGAAGCAGGUGCUCGCUUGGAUGGAACCCUGACCCUGUGCUCACACUUGUAGGAGGAGGGCUCUGCAGGCCGCCUCCCGGAACGGGAGGUUCCCAAGCCACUGCACUUCGGAGGGGCUGUAAUUAGAGUUGCACAUUCAUUCAGUUCCCAGUAAAGUAGAACGUGCUCCAGCCAGUGAGGAAAAGGUGUUUUUAAAAAUUAGAUUGGCCGAGUGCGGUGGCUCAUGCCUUUUACCUCAACACUUUGGGAGACAAAGGUGGGAGGAUCACCUGUGGCCAGGAGUUCAAGACCAGCCUGGGCAACAGAGCCUGUCUCUGGGGAAGAAUAAAAAAAAAAAUUGAGCCUUUAAAAAAAAAA
This 608-nucleotide long non-coding RNA is filed under the name Homo sapiens (human). Its description in RNAcentral is "melanoma highly expressed competing endogenous lncRNA for miR-425 and miR-489, transcript variant 2 (MHENCR)". The record is from RNAcentral. Lineage: Eukaryota; Metazoa; Chordata; Mammalia; Primates; Hominidae.